AGUAACACGUGGGCAACCUGCCUUGCAGAUCGGGAUAACUCCGGGAAACCGGUGCUAAUACCGAAUAGUUUGCAACCUCUCCUGAGGUUGUACGGAAAGACGGUUUCGGCUGUCACUGCAGGAUGGGCCCGCGGCGCAUUAGCUAGUUGGUGGGGUAACGGCCCACCAAGGCGACGAUGCGUAGCCGACCUGAGAGGGUGAUCGGCCACACUGGGACUGAGACACGGCCCAGACUCCUACGGGAGGCAGCAGUAGGGAAUCUUCCGCAAUGGACGCAAGUCUGACGGAGCAACGCCGCGUGAGUGACGAAGGUUUUCGGAUCGUAAAACUCUGUUGUGAGGGAAGAACAAGUACCACCUAACUACUGGUACCUUGACGGUACCUCACCAGAAAGCCACGG
RNAcentral lists this ribosomal RNA (400 nucleotides) under bacterium mbm18. RNAcentral's name for it is "bacterial SSU rRNA". It matches the Rfam family "Bacterial small subunit ribosomal RNA", at positions 109 to 496 of the family's 1533-position model. The record is from RNAcentral.